GAUGAACGCUGGCGGUGUGCCUAAUACAUGCAAGUCGAGCGAACAGACGAGGAGCUUACUCCUCUGACGUUAGCGGCGGACGGGUGAGUAACACGUGGAUAACCUACCUAUAAGACUGGGAUAACUUCGGGAAACCGGAGCUAAUACCGGAUAACAUGUUGAACCGCAUGGUUCAACAGUGAAAGACGGUCUUGCUGUCACUUAUAGAUGGAUCCGCGUCGCAUUAGCUAGUUGGUAAGGUAACGGCUUACCAAGGCAACGAUGCGUAGCCGACCUGAGAGGGUGAUCGGCCACACUGGAACUGAGACACGGUCCAGACUCCUACGGGAGGCAGCAGUAGGGAAUCUUCCGCAAUGGGCGAAAGCCUGACGGAGCAACGCCGCGUGAGUGAAGAAGGUCUUCGGAUCGUAAAACUCUGUUAUUAGGGAAGAACAAAUGUGUAAGUAAAUAUGCACGUCUUGACGGUACCUAAUCAGAAAGCCACGGCGAACUACGU
Molecule: ribosomal RNA, 496 nt
Filed under: uncultured bacterium
Lineage: Bacteria
Description: partial 16S ribosomal RNA
Rfam family: Bacterial small subunit ribosomal RNA
Source: RNAcentral